This 775-nucleotide ribosomal RNA is filed under the name uncultured Bacillota bacterium. Its description in RNAcentral is "bacterial SSU rRNA". It matches the Rfam family "Bacterial small subunit ribosomal RNA", at positions 554 to 1332 of the family's 1533-position model. Lineage: Bacteria; Bacillati; Bacillota. The record is from RNAcentral.
UUGGGCGUAAAGCGAGCGCAGGCGGUUGCUUAGGUCUGAUGUGAAAGCCUUCGGCUUAACCGAAGAAGUGCAUCGGAAACCGGGCGACUUGAGUGCAGAAGAGGACAGUGGAACUCCAUGUGUAGCGGUGGAAUGCGUAGAUAUAUGGAAGAACACCAGUGGCGAAGGCGGCUGUCUGGUCUGCAACUGACGCUGAGGCUCGAAAGCAUGGGUAGCGAACAGGAUUAGAUACCCUGGUAGUCCAUGCCGUAAACGAUGAGUGCUAGGUGUUGGAGGGUUUCCGCCCUUCAGUGCCGGAGCUAACGCAUUAAGCACUCCGCCUGGGGAGUACGACCGCAAGGUUGAAACUCAAAGGAAUUGACGGGGGCCCGCACAAGCGGUGGAUUAUGUGGUUUAAUUCGAUGAUACGCGAGGAACCUUACCAAGACUUAAAUGGGAAUUGACAGCUGUAGAAAUACGGUUUUCUUCGGACAAUUUUCAAGGUGCUGCAUGGUUGUCGUCAGCUCGUGCCGUGAGGUGUUAGGUUAAGUCCUGCAACGAGCGCAACCCCUGUCACUAGUUGCCAUCAUUAAGUUGGGGACUCUAGUGAGACUGCCUACGCAAGUAGAGAGGAAGGUGGGGAUGACGUCAAAUCAUCACGGCCCUUACGUCUUGGGCCACACACGUAAUACAAUGGACGGUACAACGAGUCGCAAGCUCGCGAGAGUAAGCUAAUCUCUUAAAGCCGUUCUCAGUUCGGACUGUAGGCUGCAACUCGCCUACACGAAGUCGGAAU